GUGGACAUCGGUGGGGAAGGGUUCACCGAACUCGUUCACUCGGGUAGGAGUCACGAUCUCGUACUCGCUGAGCUUCUCCAGCAGCUGGGCUGCGAGGGGACAGACGCAUAUGCCGCUGAGUGAGGUGGCCGAGCCCCGCGGCCCCGGGGGGCGGCAGCGCAGCGCUCCCCGCGCCCCUCCCCGAGCGCCCCUUACCUUGCCUGGGGUGCAGCUUCUGCCUCCUCGCUCCCGUCCUCAAGCCGUCGAUGAAGAGCGUGUCGCAGGUUUUGGUCAAGAAAAGCCAUCGCUGGAGCUGGACGGAGCGGGCGAGCCGUGGCUCCGCACGCCCGGCUCCGGCGCCCGCUCCCCGCCGGCUCCUUCCAAAAGGUUUUAAAAUCCCAAAGUAGCCCGGGCUGAGCGGCACCGGCAGCUGCCUCCUCUGCCAGGCAGUUGAAGAAGUGGACCAGCAAUUGAAGAAUCCCCUGUGUGGCACUUCUUAUAGCAGUUGUUUUCUUCUACAUUCUCAGAUAAGAGGCAAUUCAAGCAACUUUUGUUCAGGAUUAGAUUGGUGUUGUGCACUUUUCAGGCACCCUGAGGGAAAAAGAAAGAUUAUAUCCUUGUCUGAGUUUAUUUUAUUUUAUUUUGCAGUUUGAAAGGUCUCUGUAAAAAAUUUUUUUAGAGCUAAAUGUAAUUAAAUAUUGUCUUCUACCCCUUACUCAAAUCAAAAUCCCCAUUCUUGGUUUAAAAGGCUUUUAAACCUUCAAAGCCUGUGAGCAAGGCAAAAGAGAAGUUUGGAAGUUCAAUUUGCACUUCCACAGAAAAUGUCAAAGUUCUUUACAUUCUUUGCUCAACUUUGGGACAAGGCAUAGAAAUGCUGGUAUUUGCUGCAGAAGGGGAAAGUUUUAAAAUAAAAAUUAAUUCAGAAUCCACUUCUGGGCGAAAUGACACCACCUGAUUCUUCAAAACAACUGGUGAAGUCCUACAGACCUCAACUAUUAGGAGUCAGUUAUUAAUUUUUUAUGAUGAGUAUAAAAGUCAGAGUAAGUAAAGCAUCACCUGAAAAGCUGUGCAUCUUCAGCCCUGUUACUGGCUGGCCAGGCUUGAAGGGCUGGGAGACAGAGCCUCAGCAGAGCAGGCAUCUCCAGGAUUGUGGAGACCCAAGUCAGCACACCCUUAGGGCAAGGUGUAAUGGCACACAACCUCCCUGCAUGGCAUUGUGCCCACCCUUAUAAACCAGGUUUAAUUAAAAUCUUGGAUACUUACAGUGAGAUAACUCACCCAUAUCUCUUAGGGUGAUUGCAGAGCACCCUGAGCCCUGACCACUGUCCUACAACAUCCAUAUGUGCCCCAAAACUUUCAGUCUUCACAGAGAGAGAUACACAGAGGGUGCUUAGCUUGGGAUAAUGCUCCAGAAAUCAUGGCAGGAGAAGGAAGGGUAGGCUGUAUCCCUAACUCAGGUGGGUGUGGACACAUUUCCCAGGAGUGCCAAGGGGAGCCUGUGCUGCCAGUUGGGCGUGUGGAGCAAUAUUGAGCAGUCGAUCAGCAAAGGGGGAGUGAGGAAAGUGAGCCGAGUUGCCUGAGGUAGGAGAGGUGAAAAGCUGAGCAUAGCAUUAGGGCUGAGUCAGAGGGGAGGGGAGGAGGCUUACGUGGAGCUAGUCCUGCCUGGUGUCCUGGGAAAGAGGGGUGCAGCCUUCAGUCCUCAAAUCAGCAUAGUGUUGAGAAACACACGUCUGGUUUAUCUGGGCCACAGGGUGCCCCAGGGCAUCCCCAUCACACAAACAUCCCACAUCCCACCACUCUCAGCCUCAGCAUCCCCCGUGCCACAUCAGGUGCUGGUGAGAGCUGCCUUGCUUCUGUUCAACUCACUGUCACAGGAAAACCUACCAAAGCUUUGGAGUGUUUUUUUCUCUUUAGUUUUCUACAAGGUGGCCAGUUAAUCUGGCUCUGGGGUGAGGUUUGAUGGAGCUCAGGAGCCGGUACAGGGUGAGAAGUGGCAGCACACACCUGUGACUUGGUUGGGUAGGACCCUUUUUGGCACUGAGCUGAAUGGAGCAAGGUUGUUUUUGUGGAGCAUCCUCACAGCCCCACCCACUGAUCUGAAGCCACCAACCUGAGGGAAGGCAAGGAAUACAACUCCAUCAUUCAGAAGAGGGGAUCCAACUCCUGGGACUCCAUUAUGGGGCAGAUUUGGGAGUGGUCUGAAU
This is a long non-coding RNA of Ficedula albicollis (Collared flycatcher), 2183 nucleotides long. RefSeq lists it as uncharacterized. NCBI's taxonomy places the organism in Eukaryota, Metazoa, Chordata, Aves, Passeriformes, Muscicapidae. The transcript has 3 exons. The record is from RefSeq and is a predicted model, not a curated record.